UACGGGGGGGGCAAGCGUUGUUCGGAAUUACUGGGCGUAAAGGGCUCGUAGGUGGCCAACUAAGUCAGACGUGAAAUCCCCAGGCUUAACCUGGGAACUGCGUCUGAUACUGGAUGGCUUGAAUUCGGGAGAGGGAUGCAGAAUUCCAGGUGUAGCGGUGAAAUUCGUAGAUAUUGGGAAGAACACCGGUGGCGAAGGCGGCUCUCUGGACCGAUACUGACGCUGAGGCGCGAAAGCGUGGGGAGCAAACAGG
Molecule: ribosomal RNA, 253 nt
Filed under: uncultured bacterium
Lineage: Bacteria
Description: partial 16S ribosomal RNA
Rfam family: Bacterial small subunit ribosomal RNA
Source: RNAcentral